Non-coding RNA from Nothobranchius furzeri (turquoise killifish), 3751 nucleotides. Lineage: Eukaryota; Metazoa; Chordata; Actinopteri; Cyprinodontiformes; Nothobranchiidae. The record is from RefSeq and is a predicted model, not a curated record.
UAAUCGUAGACUUUUGAAGUCUUUCACAGUCAAGCAGGGAGAUCUGUAGGAGUGUUGCUUUCCUUUGCUUCAUCUUCAGGAGAAAUGGCUCAUUUAACCACAAGCCUCCCUGCCAUCUACUUAUCUAAAACUGUGGAGAAAAUUCCAAGUAAUUUCAGCGAAUGUGUAUUUACAACGAAUGAGUGGAUCUUCUCUGUGAUUCCACCAUACAUCAUGACUGUUUCCAUUCUGGGAAUUCUCCUAAAUAGUUUUGUAUUGAUGGUUUUCUCCCUCCACAAGAAGUCCUGCACCAUGACCGAGAUCCACUUGAGCAACUUGGCUGCUGCUGACCUGCUUCUGGUUUCCUUUUUGCCCUUCUAUGCUGUUUAUGUCUUUAAUCAUUUCAACUGGACUUUUGGUUUGGCCAUGUGCAAAUUUGUCAAUCUGAGCAUUUUGAUGAAUACCUACUGCAGCAUCUACUUCAUGGUUCUAGUCAGUAUUGAUCGUUAUUUGGCUCUGGUGCAUCCGAUGUUUUACGAAAGAAUCAGUGAAAAAAAGUUUGCCAAGCUGGGUUGUAUGGUGGUCUGGAUUCUGGGCUUCAUCUUUGGCCUUCCAGCUCUUAUCCACCGGGAUCUGAAACCCUCCUAUAACCAAACUUUCUGUUACCUGAAUUUUCCCAGCCGCACUACACAGCUAAUAAGUGACACGUCAAUCUCUUUGUUUGGAUUCAUCACUCCAAUUUUCAUUAUUUCUUUCUGCACUUUCAAAAUCAUCAAAGCUCUGAGAAGUGGAUCAAAGGAAAUAAAGAGUGCAGAGAAAAUGCACCAGAAAAUGACCACUUUGGUUCUGGCAGUUCUCCUGGCAUUCCUGAUCUGUUGGGUACCGUACCACCUGCUGAAGUUACUAUAUCUACUAAAAGAUGCUGACAUGUUGACUAGUUGUAGUGUUUUCAAUCACCUGCUCAUCUGCAGCCAGAUCUUCACCUACUUGGCCUUCUUCAACAGCACUCUCAACCCCAUUCUUUACUGUCUUGUUGGAAAAACUUUUCAGAAAAAAGUUAAAGAACUCUUCAAGCUGAGUAACCAAAAAAGCAACAUGGCCAUCAAUGACCCCUCUACAUCCACAAAACUGUAUGGAAGUGCUCAGUCAGAGGAAAAUGCUCUCUGAUCUGCUAAAAACCACUAACUGUGUUAAAAUUUUCUUAAACUCUGUAUGAUUUUGAUUUAAAAAGACGCAUAAACAUCCAUCAGAGGGUUGAGCUCCACAAUAUGAAAUAUUGGUGUUGACAGUUUUCUUGGUGUGUAUUGAAAUGACUGGGAUAAAUCUUUCCUGACACUAGGCUCUUGAGAGAAACCACUUGGUGGACAUGGCUCUGUUCCCAUUCCUGAGAUGUUUAUCAUGAAAGACUCAUUUGUCUCAUGUGUUGUUGUUUUUUUACUUGUGCAAAGAUAAAACUAUCCAUGUGUAAAUACGUCUUGGCUGAUACACUGAGGAUGUUGUAACCAUCACAGCUGUUCGACAAUCUGUUUAUAUCUUGCACAACGUGACAGGAUUUGUUACUGAAACCAUCCAUCCAUUUUCAUCCGCUUAUCCAGAGUUGGGUCGCGGGGGCAGUAGCCUAAGGCGAGAGGCCCAGACUUCCCUCUCCCCAGCCAUUUGGGCCAGCUCCUCGGGGGGAAUCCCAAGGCGUUCCCUGGCCAGAAUACAAAAGAGGCUACAUUCACUGUCACUGGCUACUGAUUUUCUCAGAAGGAACAUUUAUACCAUGAGAAAAUGACGACCGGAGCAAACCAUGAUGAUGGAAUGCAGCUGUUACUGCCUCUUAUCUCCUUGGUAUGUAAACUAUAAACCUUAAAGUGUUUAUCUUUUUUUGUUAACAUGAGUAUGAUUUGUGUUCCUGAUAACCAUUGUGAAUCGUUAAAGUCUAAGAGGACUAGCUUCUUCAGACGACAUCAUUACAGAGCCUCUUUUAUAAUUAUUGUAUUUGUUGCGUGUGUUUUCACAGUAAAGCAUCCAGACUUACUCAAAAUGUUCUCACAUUAUGGUGCUGAAAGAAGUCCUGCACCAUGACUGAGAUCUACCUGAGCAACUUGGCUGCUGCUGACCCCCUUCUCAUUUCUUUUACGCCGUUUGAGGCUGCUGAAAUUGACAGUAAAUCCAAAUGGACUUUUGGUUUGGCCGUGUGCAAACUUGUGUACAUGAACAUUCAGAUGAAUGACUGCUGCAGCAUCUACUUCUUUGUUCUGGUCGGCAUUGAUCAUUGUUUGACUCUGGUGCACCCACCGUCUAGUGCUUUACUUUCAACUGCAGGAACAUUUACAGCUUCAUGAGACCACUAAAAAGUUUCAGUCUGGUUUUAAACUGGGGCACAACACAGAAACAGCACUUCUUAGAGUGUUUAAUGAUCUGCUUUUGAUGGCAGACUCAGGAGAUUAUGCUGUUUUAAUCUUACUGGACUCAACUGCUGCCUUUGACACGGUAAAUAUUUUAUUAUCACGUCAGGAACAGUCUGUCGGUCUUAAGGGCACAGCGCUUAACUGGUUUUUCUCCUAUCUGUCUGAACUUUUUCUGUCCAGUUGGGUCAGUUUUCCUCCUGAGGCCCCUUUGAACUGUGGGGUACCUCAAAGCUCCAUUUUAGGACCUAUACUUUUUUCACUGUAUACACUUCCUUUGGGGUCACUUUUUAAGAAAUACAGUUUGUAAUUUCAUUGCUUUGCGGACGAUCUGCAAAUUUGUCCCCCAGUAUGAUCAUGUGGAAGUCAGUAAAUACAGAAAUUGCUGAACUGUUUGAAGGACAUAAAAACUUGGAUGGAGAUGGAUUUUCUGCAUUUAAAUGAAAAUAAGACAGAGGUGCCUUGAGAUGACUUUUGUCGUAAUUUGGCGCUAUAUAAAUAAACUGGAAUUGAAUUGAACUGAAUUUUUAGGCUGAAGAACUAUCAAAGAAUCGUAACUAUAAAUGGGACCUCCACAACCACACACGUGUCAAGAAAUGUUCAAUCUGAGGAUGAUUCUGAUUAGGUUAUGGGUUUCUGGAGUUGGAGGAUGCUACAGUUCCUUUUAUUAAAAUGAGACUUUGUGAAUAGACCAUAUUUUAGAAAUAUCAGCUUUAACUCAAAGAUUGUAGAAAGAGUACUCCUGUCUGUAUAUCCUGCAAAGCCUUUUGAACUAAUUCAUAGAAAAUGUAUAAAGCAGUUUUGUAAUUAUUCUGUACCAAAAGCAAAACAUUUUUAAAUGUAUAUGUAAAAUUUUGUUCUCUUUUUGCAUCAUAAUGCUUAAAAGUGUAAUAGUUAAUGAGUGAAAUGAUGUUAUUGGGCUCAACAGUAUAGACAACAGCCAAAUUCAUUCAUGUUUGUAAAACAGUUUAAAGUCCUUAUUCACGUUUAUGUAUGAAAAUUUUGCUUCAUUGUGACUAAAAACUAAUUCUGCAUAAACGAUUAUGACAUUGGUCUGUUCUUUUCCUUCAUCUCAUCAGUUUGUCCUCAUCUCUUCUGCUCUUCAAGGUUGCUUAUUAAAAAGAUAAAAGAAUUAGUCACAUUUAUUUUUAUUUUUCAAUCCUCGGUCUUAGGAUUGGGCUAAAGUCUAGAGAGCUGAGAAACUGCUAAGAGCUGGAUUUUUGGACAGUGGAGAACAUGAAAGCUCUACACAUAAACAUGGUGUAAAUAAUAAAACUGAUACACAAUUCUGGAUUCAGGUUUUCCUUUGCCAGUGCUAAUGAAAAUCUGUUUCAUUGUUUCACGUUGGUUGGGUCACCUAAUAAAAGAAGCCUGAAAGC